UUGUGUCUUCGAGUCGUUGAUUUCACACUGCCGAGAAAAGCCUCUAGAUAGAAAAUAGGUGCCCGUACCGCAAACCGACACAGGUAGUCAAGAUGAGAAUUCUAAGGUGAGCGAGCGAACUCUCGUUAAGGAACUCGGCAAAAUGACCCCGUAACUUCGGGAGAAGGGGUGCUCUUUAGGGUUAACGCCCAGAAGAGCCGCAGUGAAUAGGCCCAAGCGACUGUUUAUCAAAAACACAGGUCUCUGCUAAACCGUAAGGUGAUGUAUAGGGGCUGACGCCUGCCCGGUGCUGGAAGGUUAAGAGGAGUGGUUAGCUUCUGCGAAGCUACGAAUCGAAGCCCCAGUAAACGGCGGCCGUAACUAUAACGGUCCUAAGGUAGCGAAAUUCCUUGUCGGGUAAGUUCCGACCCGCACGAAAGGCGUAACGAUUUGGGCACUGUCUCAACGAGAGACUCGGUGAAAUCAUAGUACCUGUGAAGAUGCAGGUUACCCGCGACAGGACGGAAAGACCCCGUGGAGCUUUACUGUAGCCUGAUAUUGAAAUUCGGCACAGCUUGUACAGGAUAGGUAGGAGCCUUUGAAACGUGAGCGCUAGCUUACGUGGAGGUGCUGGUGGGAUACUACCCUAGCUGUGUUGGCUUUCUAACCCGCACCACUUAUCGUGGUGGGAGACAGUGUCAGGCGGGCAGUUUGACUGGGGCGGUCGCCUCCUAAAAGGUAACGGAGGCGCUCAAAGGUUCCCUCAGAAUGGUUGGAAAUCAUUCAUAGAGUGUAAAGGCAUAAGGGAGCUUGACUGCGAGACCUACAAGUCGAGCAGGGUCGAAAGACGGACUUAGUGAUCCGGUGGUUCCGCAUGGAAGGGCCAUCGCUCAACGGAUAAAAGCUACCCCGGGGAUAACAGGCUUAUCUCCCCCAAGAGUUCACAUCGACGGGGAGGUUUGGCACCUCGAUGUCGGCUCAUCGCAUCCUGGGGCUG
RNAcentral lists this ribosomal RNA (976 nucleotides) under Staphylococcus aureus. RNAcentral describes it as "partial 23S ribosomal RNA". It matches the Rfam family "Bacterial large subunit ribosomal RNA", at positions 1578 to 2555 of the family's 2925-position model. The record is from RNAcentral. Lineage: Bacteria; Bacillati; Bacillota; Bacilli; Caryophanales; Staphylococcaceae.